GAUGAAGAACGCAGCGAAAUGCGAUACGUAAUGUGAAUUGCAGAUUUCAGUGAAUCAUCGAAUCUUUGAACGCACAUUGCGCCCGCCAGUAUUCUGGCGGGCAUGCCUGUUCGAGCGUCAUUUCAACCAUCAAGCGCCUCGCUUGUGUUGGGGCCCUGCGGCUGCCGCAGGCCCCUAAAUCCAGUGGCGGGCUCGUCGUCGUACCGAGUGCAGUAAACAUCCUCGCUCAGGGAACCCGACGGGUGCCGGCCGUGAAACCCCCCCUCCUCAAGGUUGACCUCGGAUCAGGUAGGAAUACCCGCUGAACUUAAGCAUAUCAAUAGCGGAGGA
This 330-nucleotide unclassified non-coding RNA is filed under the name soil metagenome. RNAcentral's name for it is "partial contains 5.8S ribosomal RNA, internal transcribed spacer 2, and large subunit ribosomal RNA". The stretch from base 1 to 120 matches the Rfam family "5.8S ribosomal RNA", at positions 35 to 154 of the family's 154-position model. The record is from RNAcentral.